Molecule: ribosomal RNA, 253 nt
Filed under: uncultured bacterium
Lineage: Bacteria
Description: partial 16S ribosomal RNA
Rfam family: Bacterial small subunit ribosomal RNA
Source: RNAcentral
UACGGAGGGGGCAAGCGUUAUUCGGAAUUAUUGGGCGUAAAGGGCGCGUAGGCGGCUAGAUGUGUCAAAGGUGAAAUCCCUCGGCUCAACUGAGGAACUGCCUUUGAAACUGUCUGGCUUGAGGCCGGGAGAGGGUAGCGGAAUUCCCAGCGUAGCGGUGAAAUGCGUAGAUAUUGGGAGGAACACCAGUGGCGAAGGCGGCUACCUGGACCGGUUCUGACGCUGAGGCGCGAAAGCGUGGGUAGCAAACAGG